RNAcentral lists this ribosomal RNA (659 nucleotides) under uncultured Bacilli bacterium. Its description in RNAcentral is "bacterial SSU rRNA". It matches the Rfam family "Bacterial small subunit ribosomal RNA", at positions 60 to 685 of the family's 1533-position model. Lineage: Bacteria; Bacillati; Bacillota; Bacilli. The record is from RNAcentral.
AGUCGAGCGAGCGGAACCAACAGAUUUACUUCGGUAAUGACGUUGGGAAAGCGAGCGGCGGAUGGGUGAGUAACACGUGGGGAACCUGCCCCUAAGUCUGGGAUACCAUUUGGAAACAGGUGCUAAUACCGGAUAAUAAAGCAGAUCGCAUGAUCAGCUUUUGAAAGGCGGCGUAAGCUGUCGCUAAGGGAUGGCCCCGCGGUGCAUUAGCUAGUUGGUAAGGUAACGGCUUACCAAGGCGACGAUGCAUAGCCGAGUUGAGAGACCGAUCGGCCACAUUGGGACUGAGACACGGNCCAAACUCCUACGGGAGGCAGCAGUAGGGAAUCUUCCACAAUGGACGCAAGUCUGAUGGAGCAACGCCGCGUGAGUGAAGAAGGUUUUCGGAUCGUAAAGCUCUGUUGUUGGUGAAGAAGGAUAGAGGUAGUAACUGGCCUUUAUUUGAACGGUAAUCAACCAGAAAGUCACGGCUAACUACGUGCCAGCAGCCGCGGUAAUACGUAGGUGGCAAGCGUUGUCCGGAUUUAUUGGGCGUAAAGCGAGCGCAGGCGGAAAAAUAAGUCUAAUGUGAAAGCCCUCGGCUUAACCGAGGAACUGCAUCGGAAACUGUUUUUCUUGAGUGCAGAAGAGGAGAGUGGAACUCCAUGUGUAGCGGUGGA